UGGGGAAUAUUGGACAAUGGGGGCAACCCUGAUCCAGCCAUGCCGCGUGAGUGAUGAAGGCCUUCGGGUUGUAAAGCUCUUUUGGCGGGGACGAUGAUGACGGUACCCGCAGAAUAAGCCCCGGCUAACUUCGUGCCAGCAGCCGCGGUAAGACGAAGGGGGCAAGCGUUGUUCGGAAUUACUGGGCGUAAAGGGCGCGUAGGCGGUUUGUUUAGUCAGGCGUGAAAGCCCUGGGCUUAACCUGGGAUGUGCGCUUGAUACUGGCAGGCUUGAGUGUGGGAGAGGUUGGUGGAAUUCCCAGUGUAGAGGUGAAAUUCGUAGAUAUUGGGAAGAACACCGGUGGCGAAGGCGGCCAACUGGACCACAACUGACGCUGAGGCGCGAAAGCGUGGGGAGCAAA
This 400-nucleotide ribosomal RNA is filed under the name uncultured bacterium. RNAcentral's name for it is "bacterial SSU rRNA". It matches the Rfam family "Bacterial small subunit ribosomal RNA", at positions 355 to 772 of the family's 1533-position model. The record is from RNAcentral.